RNAcentral lists this ribosomal RNA (449 nucleotides) under uncultured bacterium. RNAcentral describes it as "partial 16S ribosomal RNA". It matches the Rfam family "Bacterial small subunit ribosomal RNA", at positions 354 to 796 of the family's 1533-position model. The record is from RNAcentral.
GUAGGGAAUCUUCGGCAAUGGGGGGAACCCUGACCGAGCAACGCCGCGUGAGUGAAGAAGGUUUUCGGAUCGUAAAGCUCUGUUGUAAGAGAAGAACGUGUGUGAGAGUGGAAAGUUCACACAGUGACGGUAACUUACCAGAAAGGGACGGCUAACUACGUGCCAGCAGCCGCGGUAAUACGUAGGUCCCGAGCGUUGUCCGGAUUUAUUGGGCGUAAAGCGAGCGCAGGCGGUUUGAUAAGUCUGAAGUAAAAGGCUGUGGCUUAACCAUAGUAUGCUUUGGAAACUGUCAAACUUGAGUGCAGAAGGGGAGAGUGGAAUUCCAUGUGUAGCGGUGAAAUGCGUAGAUAUAUGGAGGAACACCGGUGGCGAAAGCGGCUCUCUGGUCUGUAACUGACGCUGAGGCUCGAAAGCGUGGGGAGCAAACAGGAUUAGAAACCCUGUAGUCC